GAUAAACGCUGGCGGCGUGCUUCAGGCAUGCAAGUCGAACGGGUGUCUACCUUCGGGUAGCCACUAGUGGCGGACGGGUGAGUAACGCGUUAGCAACCUGCCCAAAGGUGGGGAAUAACUAACCGAAAGGUUAGCUAAUACCGCAUGUGAUAGCUGGUUCUUGGACUGGUUAUGAAAGGCUUCGGUCGCCUUUGGAGGGGCUUGCGUCAGAUUAGCUUGUUGUGGGGUAAUGGCCUACCAAGGCGACGAUCUGUAGCUGGUCUGAGAGGAUGGUCAGCCACACGGGGACUGAGAUACGGCCCCGACUCCUACCGGGA
RNAcentral lists this ribosomal RNA (317 nucleotides) under uncultured bacterium. RNAcentral describes it as "bacterial SSU rRNA". It matches the Rfam family "Bacterial small subunit ribosomal RNA", at positions 28 to 346 of the family's 1533-position model. The record is from RNAcentral.